Molecule: non-coding RNA, 148 nt
Organism: Glycine max (soybean)
Lineage: Eukaryota; Viridiplantae; Streptophyta; Magnoliopsida; Fabales; Fabaceae
Source: Rfam
GCGUACUAAGAUUUCCUCGGGCUAGACGAAGAUUGACCCUCGAGUGCAAAGGCAGAAGGGAGCUUGACUACAAGACCCACCCGUCAAGCAGGGACGAAAGUCGACCUUAGUGAUCUGACAGUGCCAAGUGGAAGGGUCGUCGUUCAAC